GGGGAAUUAGCUCAGCUGGUAGAGCGCCUGCUUUGCAAGCAGGAUGUCAGGAGUUCGAGUCUCCUAUUCUCCA
This 73-nucleotide transfer RNA is filed under the name Synechococcus phage S-CAM1. It matches the Rfam family "tRNA". From Rfam's summary of the family: Transfer RNA (tRNA) molecules are approximately 80 nucleotides in length. Their secondary structure includes four short double-helical elements and three loops (D, anti-codon, and T loops). The record is from Rfam by way of RNAcentral. RNAcentral also lists the same sequence under 1 other name. Lineage: Duplodnaviria; Heunggongvirae; Uroviricota; Caudoviricetes; Pantevenvirales; Kyanoviridae.